AGAGAGGAGGGGCAUAAACCGCUUCUGCCCGGGUUGCCCUGGAAACUGCCUUGAAAGGGGAGUUCAGUUGCAGCUGCCACACCCACAAUUAUCUUGCAAACCAAAGGUUGUUUCUGUUUGGUUUUUUGAAUACCUAAAGCAUUCCUGUUAGAUAAGUGAUAUUCUUGAAAUCCCCACCUCCCGGUCCUCACUGGCGGAAGAAAAGAAAAUGGAAAGGACUUCUACAGUGACUCAAGCAAAAGAGUGAUCUUCUUUUCUUUGGGGAAUAGAAUUGGUUUUGUGGAGCCAUUAACACAGAGAGAUUCAGAAGAAAGAGAUUUGUUUGUUAAUAUUGCUGAAAUGGAAUGAUUUGCUAUAAGAAUUAUAUUUUUGACCUGAAGAAAAAACAAUUGCUGACAAUGAAGAUGAAAACAAGGAUGCUGAGGAAGGAGAGGGAGAGGAGGAAGAUGGCCCUCUUCUAGUUCCUAGAGUAGUUUCUGGAGCAGGAGAUCAUGGGGAGGCUGUGGACAUCGUGCUUCUUGAUUUCAGCAAUGCAUUUCGCAGACACUCCCACGACAUCCUUGUUAACCAGUUGGUAAAAGGGGGGCCAGAUGAUACAUCUGUGUGGUGGAGUCACAACUGAUUCAACAACCAUAUGAACCAAGCACUCAUUCGUAAUCACAGAACAGAACAACCUUCUUUCACAAUGGCCUUGGAAGGUACAUCAAGAUCCGAGACACCUUUAGGUGGAUUUUUAAACAGGCAUUUGGCCAAUGAUCUCCACCCGCUCCUGGCUCUCUUUUUAAAGUAGCUGGGUUUUUGUUUUAGCAGUUUGUUCUUCUUGAAGUUUAAUUACUGUUUUUAUCUUGUUUUAGCCUCCCUGGGUUCUUUGGAUGAAGGGUGGUAUAAAAAUAUAACUAAUAAAUAACAGAUCAAGUA
Molecule: long non-coding RNA, 918 nt
Organism: Hemicordylus capensis (graceful crag lizard)
Lineage: Eukaryota; Metazoa; Chordata; Lepidosauria; Squamata; Cordylidae
Exons: 4
Source: RefSeq, a predicted model, not a curated record